Molecule: non-coding RNA, 113 nt
Organism: Vigna angularis (adzuki bean)
Lineage: Eukaryota; Viridiplantae; Streptophyta; Magnoliopsida; Fabales; Fabaceae
Source: Rfam
AAGUGCGAUCAUACCAGUACUAAUGCACCAUAAUGCACCGUACUAAUACACGCUGUGCUUAGGGAGUAGUACUAGGAUGGGGGACCUCCUGGAAAGUCCUCGUGUUGCACCUC